This 468-nucleotide ribosomal RNA is filed under the name uncultured bacterium. Its description in RNAcentral is "partial 16S ribosomal RNA". It matches the Rfam family "Bacterial small subunit ribosomal RNA", at positions 28 to 507 of the family's 1533-position model. The record is from RNAcentral.
GACGAACGCUGGCGGCGUGCUUAACACAUGCCAGUCGAACGGAAAGGCCCUGCUUUUGUGGGGUGCUCGAGUGGCGAACGGGUGAGUAACACGUGAGUAACCUGCCCUUGACUUUGGGAUAACUUCAGGAAACUGGGGCUAAUACCGGAUAGGAGCUCCUGCUCCAUGGUGGGGGUUGGAACGUUUCGGCGGGUGGGGAUGGAUUGGCGGCUUAUCAGCUUGUUGGUGGGGGAGUGGCUUACCAAGGCUUUGACGGGUAGGCGGCCUGAGAGCGUGACCGGCGACAUUGGGACUGAGAGACGGCCCAGUGGCCUACGGGAGGCAGCAGGGGGGAGUAUGGCACAGUGGGCGGAAGCCUGAUGAAGAGACGCCGCGGGCGGGAAGACGGCUUUUGGGUAGUAAACCGCUUUAGCCUGAGACGCAGCGUGAGUGACGGUAAUGGGUAAAGAAGCACCGGCUAACUACGUG